This is a long non-coding RNA of Chiroxiphia lanceolata (lance-tailed manakin), 677 nucleotides long. RefSeq lists it as uncharacterized. The transcript is spliced from 2 exons. The record is from RefSeq and is a predicted model, not a curated record. Lineage: Eukaryota; Metazoa; Chordata; Aves; Passeriformes; Pipridae.
UAUACGCUACUGGUCGAAUCAAGAUCUAGCAGAAACCAAGUGGGUAAGAUUCUAUUGUCGUCACACUCAUAGACAAGUAUUUGUAACAUCUUGGUUGCAUUUUCUGUAAAAGGUGUAUUUUAUAGUUCGCAGCGACAUCCUGUGACUUUGUGGUAACGUAGAUCGGACAGUCGACAGCAAAUCCGUAUUUCACGGUCUGCGGCGCCAUCUCGCGACCUUACUUGGUGACGCAGAUUGCUCAGAUAGAAACCAGAAGAAUCUUUUAGGAAAACUCCUACAAGAAAAGUGGGAGGGACCUUUCCAAGUGCUGCUGAUCACCUUCACCGCGGUUAGGAUCAAGGAGCGACCUACAUGGAUUCACUAUUCUCGAGUCAAGAAAGUUCCGGAAGAUAAGCAGGAAGACCCGACAUCAUGAAUCCGGCUCCUUCUCAAACCCUUUCAACAUUGACCAUUGGACUUUUGAUAAGUAUUGUUUUAUCCCAAAACCGUACUCCAGAAGGGUCGUGGUCUAGUGCACGCACACUACCACGCUCUGAGGAAAACCCAGACUUUGAGGUUUAUGUCUUACAUAACAAUCAACCCUAUACGAUAGAUGAAUGGGAUAGCAGAACCUGUUUCAUAGCGCAAAAGGGAGACCAAAUUCAAGUAGGGUGUCGAGAGGUCGAUGCCCUAGUGGG